Molecule: ribosomal RNA, 339 nt
Filed under: Atractotomimus limonii
Lineage: Eukaryota; Metazoa; Arthropoda; Insecta; Hemiptera; Miridae
Description: partial large subunit ribosomal RNA
Source: RNAcentral
UUUUUUUUAAGAAAWAAAAUUAAUCUUUUAGUUAAAAAGCUGAAAUUUUAUUAUAGGACGAGAAGACCCUAUAGAACUUUACUUUAUAUAAUAUAUGACUCUUUUGUAAAUUACUUUUUAUAUAUUAUUUAUAGUUUUGUUGGGGUGACAGAAAAAAUAAAAUAACUUUUUCUAUUUAUCUCAUUUAUAUAUGAUUUUUUGAUCCUUUAUUAUGGAAGUAAGAUUAAGUUACCUUAGGGAUAACAGCGUUAUUAUUUCAGAGAGUUCAUAUUGAUGAAAUAGUUUGCGACCUCGAUGUUGGAUUAAAAUAAGUAUCAGAGGCAGAAUAUUGAUUACUAA